AACAGCUGGUGGUCCUGCACCACCACAAUAUACCCCAGCAGAGGAGCUGGCCCUUGGAUUGAAUGAAAACCAAACCAUUGUGGAGGGCAUCCCUGGGGGCAGCUCUUCCUCAGACCCAAAGACAGGCACCAGUAGCAGCAACACCUUCAUUACUCUUUUACAUAAUACACCAACACUUUUACCUGUUCCCAUGCAAGUGGUGGCUGAAGCAUAUGCAGACAGUGAAGAAACCCUCUCAGAAGACUGUCCUUUGGAGGAAGAACCUGUAAGUGCAUAAAUGACUUUACACUAAUUUGUAUAUAGCCUACUUGUGUACCUAUUCUUUCUGUCUGCGAUUUGAGUUGCAGGAGUCCACACCUAGAGAAAGGCCUACAGAAAGGCUUGCAGAAGAGUCUGCACAAAGAACUAAUACAGAGGUGGACAGUGUACUUUUACUUUUUACUUUUGUUGCAUGAGGCAUGUUUUGACCUUUUUUUUUUAUUUUACAAAAUGACAGGGUGACAUCCGUUCCCUCUAUAAACGGCAUCUUCAACAAAAAAUUUAGUAUUUUGAGCUGAACAAAUGCAAAUUAAGAGGAGAAAUUGAACUUGACAACUUGAAAAAGAGAGAAAUUGCUCUAGAGAUAGGGUUGCUUCAAAAGGACCUUCAGAGUAAGUGCUAAUACACCAUUUGACACAUAGUUAUGUAAAGUCAGCAAUACUACUAUCUCUUAUUGCAGGCAAAAGAUGACUUGCUGGCUUUUGUUUAUAAAGAAUUGUUUAAAUAAAAC
Long non-coding RNA from Esox lucius (northern pike), 769 nucleotides. RefSeq lists it as uncharacterized. The transcript has 3 exons. NCBI's taxonomy places the organism in Eukaryota, Metazoa, Chordata, Actinopteri, Esociformes, Esocidae. The record is from RefSeq and is a predicted model, not a curated record.